CUGCCGACUUUUCUUUCACUUUCACUUAGAGCAAGAUGGCAGCCCGCGUCCCUGUGUGAAGCCGUCUGCAGCAGCUGCCAGAGCCCUGCUUGCUGUUUCCUUUCUCACCACCCACCUCACCCGGAAAUCCCCUGGUGAUUUCAAGACCUGACCUCUGCACCCUUUUGCUCCCCACCUGUCCCAAAAAAGUGGAGCUAUAACUGUGGGAAAAGGGGAUCUGAAGUCAGACACAGGAUCCACAGUAGCCUGGGGACCUUUCUCACCCCCGCCCUUAAGCAGGCCCCAACAUAACCGGCUGAGAAACCUCCUCUGCCAGAUCCUGACCUGAGCCAGGAGGCGGCCAGGAAACUGGAUUUUGGGACUGGGAUUUCAGAGAGGAAGCUGGAGAGCUGCAGGGUGGUCAUCUGUCACUUUAUUUUGCCCGUCUUGUAGCAUUCUCGAAAAGGCACUCUGUCACGUGUACACAGGAAAGGGCCCUGACAAGAGGAUGGGACUGCAGUUGUGGCUGCCAGAGUCUUGCUUUGUCGCCCAGGUUGGAGUGCAGUGGCACGAUCUCGGCUCAGUGCAACCUCCGCCUCCUGAGUUCAAGUGAUUCUCCUGCCUCAGCCUCCCUAGUAGCUGGGAUUACAGGACAAGGAGAGGGACAAAUUCCUUCUUGGCAUCCUUAUGGCCCUGUGACCUGCUAAUGAAUGCUGACUCUGAGUUGCUACUAGAAUUUGGUUUCCUUGUGGCUUCCCAGGAAUUGGUCUCACUCUGCUCACUCUGUCUCCCAAGCUGGAGUGCAGUGGUACAGUCACGGCUCACUGCAGCCUCCACUUCCUGGACUCAAGUGAUCUUCUCACUUCAGCCUUCUGAGUAGCUGGGACUACAGCCCCCUCUGCAGCUCUUCAUGGGGGUCCACUCAAGUCAGAAGCCACAUUUGGGUGUGAUUCAGAGAGCUGUUUAUGCAAAACCAGCUUUGUCACCAUCAGGCAAGGCACCUGAAUUCCCACCGCAGAGAGUGUUGUGGCCGUGAGGACUUUUCUGUCACCAGCCAUUUCCAGGUAGACCCAGUGUAAUCACAAGCAUCCUUGUAAGUGGCAAAGAGGCAGAGGAGACAGCGCCAGAGAGGCAGCUGCAUGAGAAGGAUCAAGAUGUUGCUGACUUUGAAGUUGGAAGAAGAAGGCCAUGAGCCUCAGUAUGUGGGCGGCUUCUAGAAGCUGGAAGGGGCAAGGAGAUGGAUUUGACCCUUCAGCCUCCAGGGGCAGCUGUACCUGCCAUCACUGAUUGUAGCCUGGUGAGGCCUGUUUUAGACUUCUGACCUGUAGAGCUGUAACAUAAUACAUUUGGGUUGUUUUCAACCACUAAGUUUGUGGUAAUUUGUUGUAGCAGCUGUAGAAAAUGAAUACAUAUGAAUCCUCUGGCAUUUGUUUGAGAUUUGCUCUAUGGCCUAGUAUGUGGUUGUAAAUGUUCCAUCUGUGCCUGAAAAAAUGUAUAUUUCUAAUUCAGUAGUCUCUGCUUUUUUUUUUUAUUUUGUACCCCAUCAAUAAAAUGAUUUUCAGCAUGUAUCCCCAAAUAAACAAUAUUUUAUUUAUUGAUUGAUUGAUAAACAGACAUGUUUAAUGAUAGCUUGCUUUUCACAGAGGUGACUUCGGAGACUUCUAAUCUAUAAUCCAGGAGUAUAUAACCAUG
RNAcentral lists this long non-coding RNA (1671 nucleotides) under Homo sapiens (human). Its description in RNAcentral is "HSALNT0184819". Lineage: Eukaryota; Metazoa; Chordata; Mammalia; Primates; Hominidae. The record is from RNAcentral.